RNAcentral lists this ribosomal RNA (198 nucleotides) under uncultured bacterium. RNAcentral's name for it is "partial 16S ribosomal RNA". It matches the Rfam family "Bacterial small subunit ribosomal RNA", at positions 328 to 539 of the family's 1533-position model. The record is from RNAcentral.
ACGCUCGACACCUACGGGAGGUAGCAGUGGGGAAUAUUGCACAAUGGGGGAAACCCUGAUGCAGCGACGCCGCGUGAGUGAAGAAGUAUUUCGGUAUGUAAAGCUCUAUCAGCAGGGAAGAAGAUGACGGUACCUGAGUAAGAAGCCCCGGCUAACUACGUGCCAGCAGCCGCGGUAAUCUGAGCGGGCUGGCAAGGC